AUGGCAGCCCGGGGCGGGGGGCCGGCCCGGCCCCCGUCCCCCUCCGCCCCCGCCGUGACAGCUGCGCCUCCCCGCAGGCCGGGGGGCUGCGGCGGGCGGCGGGGGCCGGGGGCGGCGUGCCGGCCCCGCCAGACACACCCCCGCCCUGCGCGGUGGGGAGCGGGGCGCCCCCGGCCGGCCUCCCCCCCGCGCCCGCUCGCCCGCCCGCCCCGCCGCCAGCUGCGGCGCGGCCGGGCGCCACUCACCUGCCGCCGCUGCCUGGGUGACAGCCGCCUCCCCCCGCCGGGGCUGAGGCCGCGCAGCUCAACGGGCAACGCGACAGCGACUCCCCCGGCCAGGCGGCGGGGGCGGCCCCGGGGGGGCUGCCGGCUCGCAGCAGCCCCCGCCGCGAUCCUGGUGACCGGAGCGGUGGCGGCGGCGGGCGCUGCUGGGGGCCCCGGUUCCCGCUGCGCGGCUCCCGGGCACCCGGGGCCCCUUGCCUGGGCGGCGCGGCGCGGCUGCGGGGCUCCGGCUCGCUCGCCGCUCUCCCUCCCGGCGGGACGGGGCGGAGCUGGGCACGGAGGACGAGGGGGGCGGUGUCGGAGGAGGCCGCCGCGGCCCGGCCCGGGUCCCUCCUCCUCCCUCAGCCGCCGCCGGCCGCCAUCUUCCCUCCCCCACCCCCCCCCACCGGCGGCCUCUCGCCGCGGCCCGGCCCGAGCGGCGGCAGCGCGGGGCAGAGGCGCAGGGGAGCCCGUGGCCCCUCCGCCGCCGGCCCGCGGGCAGGGGCCGGCGGGCGCCAUCUUGGAGGCAGAAGGGGCGGCCGGGGCCUGCCCGCCGCGGCCUGGGGGGCUGGGACAGCGCCGUACCCCGGCGGGGAGCCCCGGGGGGGCCCCGGCGCCAUCACCCCGGCCUCACGGCGGCCUCGGGCCUGCCCUCCCCACGCCUCGCACCUCCCCGGGCACCCCGCGGGCCAGGCGCGCCUGUCGGGGCAGGCCCCGGCAACCAGUGCCCCGGGGUGAAGAGGCCGCGGCAGGGCUCCCGGAGCCCCCAGGAGCUGCUGCCCUGGGGGGGGGAGGCCGCCUGCGUUCGAGGUACCUGUCAGGUUUUGUUUCCCACUCGCCUUCCCUGGCGAGGCUUUAA
This 1119-nucleotide long non-coding RNA is filed under the name Falco tinnunculus (common kestrel). RNAcentral's name for it is "lncRNA (ENSFTIG00000013164.1)". Lineage: Eukaryota; Metazoa; Chordata; Aves; Falconiformes; Falconidae. The record is from RNAcentral.